This is a long non-coding RNA of Carassius carassius (crucian carp), 692 nucleotides long. RefSeq lists it as uncharacterized. The record is from RefSeq and is a predicted model, not a curated record. Lineage: Eukaryota; Metazoa; Chordata; Actinopteri; Cypriniformes; Cyprinidae. The transcript is spliced from 5 exons.
AUUUUUCCCAUCUUGCAGUUCAUUCAUAUUAGUUUAUAUCUUAAAUAUUUUGCUCACAGAUCACUAUUAACAUUCUGUAUAUAAUUCUGUUUUAUUUUCUCUCCCCUUGUAUUUAUUUUUUAGCUGAAAAGAUGUAAAGGAAGCAGUCAGCCCAGUCAUGUUUGUGGAGAGGUAUUCCUUCAGAAAUGGAGAAGACAGAAAGCUGCAGAGGCAGGAUUGUUUGCAGAUAAUGCUGUUCUUCUUUUUCAGAAGUUUUUGGGGAGCCAACCCUCACACACCUUCCUAAAAACUAAAAGAGCUAUUACUGAGUCUCAGUGAAUCUUGCCAUGAUCAGCUCUUCCCAGAAGAGAAGGAAGACCAAGGAAAUGAUUUGCUCAGGAUGAGGAAUGAAGACGGCCAUCUUGUGCUCAAACAAACAGAAGUCCACUGAUGAUCUCAUCAGCCAAAUGAGGGGUUUUGAUCAAGUGAUGCUCUUGAAAGGAGUGAAAGAAGAGGAUGUGGUAAAUUGUCUUCAGAGAAAAGGCUUCUCAAAAGGUCUUAAAACAGCUUGAAGAAUGGUCUGGGAUCUUAGGACUGAGAGAUCCUCUGGCUGAGAACAUGCUACACCACAUCGGUGCUGGAUAUCAACCACAAACUGUUUCCAGACACGAGAGAAGAAGAUCACGAUGGGGAGAUGAAACCAGUUUAGAUGU